GAAGGAUAUAUUGAAUUUCGAGUCAUGUACUAACAGGUGCGAUCAUACCAGCACUAAUGCACUGGAUCCCAUCAGAACUCCGCAGUCAAGCGUGCUUGGGCGAGAGUAGUACUAGGAUGGGUGACCUCCCGGGAAGUCCUCGUGUUGCACCCCUUUUUUAUUUUUUUUCUGCACACCAAAACGUUUCUAAACUUAAAAACUCCAUAACUUUUGAACCGUGUGGAACUACGACGUUCCAUAACACCAUUUCGGAAACGCCCCAAAACCAUAAAUUGGCGCCUGAUUAAGGCGCCGCGAUUUUCCGGACGCCAAAUUCCGCUGGUUUGUACCCUCAAAAGGCAGUUUAAUGUUGAGGACCUAAAAUAAAGUCGAAAUCUGGGUUUUCCGUGUGUUAUCAUUGAAUUCUACUUAAAUCUCACUACAAUUUUAUGCUGGAAUUUAAAUGCAAACUAAACCAUGAAGGUCCCACGCUAAUCCAUAACGUGAUGAGGAAAAC
RNAcentral lists this ribosomal RNA (496 nucleotides) under Eruca vesicaria subsp. sativa (arugula). The record is from RNAcentral. Lineage: Eukaryota; Viridiplantae; Streptophyta; Magnoliopsida; Brassicales; Brassicaceae.